UGGUGGAGCAAGAAUCAUACAAUGCUUAGA
This 30-nucleotide non-coding RNA is filed under the name Rattus norvegicus (Norway rat). The record is from RNAcentral. Lineage: Eukaryota; Metazoa; Chordata; Mammalia; Rodentia; Muridae.